AUUGAAAGCUGCUUGCCUAGAAGAACAACUGCUCUUGAGAACUCUUGAGAGCAUGUGAAGAAAUCUGGAGUUGAUUUGUGUAAGAGGGAGGAACAAUCUGUUUCACUUCACCAGCAUCGUGCAGUUUCGAUGUUACAACAUCCACUUGUUAGAGAAGCUCUGUACAAAAGCUAAUGUUUCUUCAUGGCUAGAGGUGGGCUGAGGUUCCUUCAUCAGUUAAUUUCUGAAUGUUGGGUGUCUGAAGAACACUUCUGGAAACCAGAUUUGCAGGAGGGGAGAGCAAAAUACUUCAUGUUUCAGAAGAACCUAGACAGAUUUUUCCAAAUGCGUCUCUACUUGUUUGUCAUUCACACUGACGUAUGGACCCCCUUCCCUCCCCUCUUUUUGGUAAAGUGACAGUGAGAUUCAGAUGCCUAUACGAGAGCUUGCAGCAGCUGUUUUGGAUGUCCUCAAGAUGUAAGAAGGUCCCAGCAGAGCAGGCCGAUGUGAUGGAGGAUGAAAGAAAAUUGACCUUCUGGAGAUUUGAUUGGGCACCAAGCAGGACAACAUGAGCUAUGAAUAGAUAAAGCAGCCUGCAAGCUUCUGACCAUACUGUAUCACGGGAGGAUAACUGCCUUGCAUGGGAAAUCAAUGAUGCUGUAGCACUGCACUUUUGCUUUGGAGGAACACUGCUGGAAGCACCUAAGAUUCAUAUUGCUCACUGCCUUUCUUUCCUCACUCCAGAUAUGUCUCUUAAUUUUCCACCACUAGGUAAAUAAUAAAGGACCUGCAUAUAACAGAGAUUUAAUAAAUAGCAAAGAUGUGGGAUAUAUGAAAGAUUGAGUGCAAAAAAAAAAAAGAUUCUGGAUCUGUUCAAUUAGUUUGAUUAUAUUUUAUUAGAAAGCUCAGCCAAUACAAAUGAUUCUUGUUCACUACCAGCCAGUUUAAAGUGUGGUGUUUCAUUGUAAUUCAUAUAGAUGUUUUCUGUCCAGUUAAAUAUAAACUCCUUGGGUAAGUACUGCUACUUUUCGUGUAUUGAAUGUUAAGAAGCAUAAGCAGCACCAGCAAUGCUUCAGUGUAAGUCAAUAUACAUACACGUUUACAUUUCAGACAUUAAAAGGAAAAAUUAAAUUAAUGUACCAGUUGCAUUUUAAGCUCUACUUGCUUUUAGUAGUAAUUGAGAUGAAUGGUUAAUUUAAAUCUAUUUCCAAAGUUAAGGCUGAAAGCAUUUCAUUUAUAUUCAACAAUAACCAACAUAGUAUGGCAUUUUACCAAAACAUGGGACACCUCAAAAACAGAAGACUUAUUCGAUUUCUUGUUGACAGAAUUGACAGCUCUUUGCUACUGUUGUUGCCAAAAUGAAUAUGCUAAUUUACUUUUUAAUUCUGUAGCAAGUGUGAAAAUACUCCACUGUGAAAAAUAAAAAUACUUUUUUAUUAUGUAUCUUAAACGGAAAUGUCUUCGAACAUUGUAUUUUUAGUUAUACAUAGUGAAUAAAAAAGCUGCUGGUGGCAGUAUUUUUAAGUAGCUGACUUCAUCACUUAAUUAAAUGCAGAACAGUAUUCUGGAUAAGUUUAAAGUAGAUAGCUAACGUAAAUCAGAUGAUAAAACUGGCGUGCAUGAAACAAAUAAUGGCUAAGGCAUCUUAAUAUUCUCAAUUUCUAUAUAUCUUAUUGUAAUCUUAACUUGAGCAUGUGUUAAAUGCACAGACAUAUUCAGCAAUGGUCUUCUCGGAGCCUCCACAGAGCUAGGCAGCACAUAGUCACCACUGCUCUCACUUCUGUAAUCCGCAGCACAGGCAGGCUACGUGUUGUUUUCAUAUAGGAGUUCUCCAGAAGAGACAAACCAGAAGCCAUUUGAAAUUCUGCCCUACUGAAACCUGCAGUUGUAUUGCUACCGUAGUACUUCUGUGGCUUUAUGGAUGGAAAACAGAAUACGUACCACUCUGACUAAACCUAUGGGACUGGAAACAUUAGAAGUGCACAUGCUGUAUUUCAAGAGAGUCUUUUUCUUUUAAUGAACAAGUACGAAUAUUGAUUACCCAAACAGCAAAAUGUACAAAACAAUGCAUGUGUUUGCAAGUUAGAAGAUAGAGGAAAGUUUAUGAGGUUAGAGGUAAAAAAAUACUUUUUAAAUGUGUAUGACUCAAAUAUAUUCUGUGAAAAUUGUAUUUUUCACUGUAGCUUUUAAAUUUAAGUGCUGUUAAGAACAAGAAACAAAAUAGAUAAAUUUUAUGUUCAAUAUAUCUCAAUUUUGUCUUCUCUACAUAAUUGUUGGUAAUAUUUUUUCUAUGCUGAGAUUUCUUUCUUUCCCUCUUUCUUCCUGUUUUCUGCCAGAAGUGGCAUAUGAGAAACAUCAUUUUCAUCUUGCACUGAAGAACGUGAAAUGAAGCCAGUGCAAACCCUACUUCUCUAGAAGGUUCUAGUUCACUAUAGAGGUUUUUUCAGGAGCCUGGCAGAACUAUCACUCUCUCUAGGUACAGAUAUCUUUGCUCAGUGCUAGAACUUUCAUCUUUUCUGAAUAAAAGUCCAUGUAUCAGGACAUAAAGAAGCAGUAUGUACAGACACUGCACAUCAGUGGAAAUUACCUACUUAAAGUAAAAUAUAGUAGGUCAUCUGUGGUAAUAUUGAACACUGAUGGAACACACCCUACAAUGUACUGAUGUGUAUCUUUGUCGUGCAUAACUAUGACUAUUUGGUACUCACAGGGAAGCCAAACACAGGGAAUAGCCAUCCCUUCACUAACUACUGAGAGUUAAAUGAAAUGAUUAAUACUUAACAAAACAGUUCCAUAGAUAGGUACACCUGGCAUAGAGAGUAGAUAGGUAAGUUUUUAGCAUGAACAUUUAAAGAACUUGAAGUGGUCAUUGGAACAAACUCACAUACGCGCUACUAUGGCUUCUGUUUGAAAAGUUAGCUGUCAGUAUGGCUUAACAUCAAAGGAAAUAGCUUUUCAACAGUUGUCAAGCAUCACAGACUCUGAAUAUUGUUGAUGUUCUUGAUAUUUUCAGUCUGGCUCUAGACAUUACUCUGUUCAUAUUUUAGUCACCUUGGAGAGAUGAAUGAAUUUCAGUUAUCCAUCUGGUAGUGGCCUCAUCUACUGCAUCACAGUUACAGCUGCUACUGUCUUGUACACUGUGAAUGAAUCGACAACAGUCCUGGAGUAGUAUUUUUCCUCGGAUGACUGUAAGGGGUAAGGGAAGAACUGCUUCCUUUCCUGAAGAAGGGUAAUAUAGCACGUUGUUGCCUUCCCGUUAUAGAAAGCAUUUCAGGAAGCUGAUGACAUCCAACUGUAUAUGCCUACGAUUAUGUCAACAGAGAUGCUUUAACUAAAAGAAUGUUUCCCAGUAGUCAUCAGCCUUCAGCACUCCUACUUCCCAAGCUGCUAUCAGAUAUGAACACUAUAGCAGCAAUUGAAUUUGCUUUUUACGAUCAGUGCAAGGCCUUUAUUGCUGUAGACAGACUGCUGCUGGCAUUAUCAUAUUUUUUCUUAUUUCAAGAUUAGAUUAAUGCAAUAAAACUUCACCUUUAAAAAUAAGCUGCCGGAGAAUACUACAGUUUAUAUGACAUGAGAAAGACUACCUAGAUAAAAUGCAGGAAUUAAAGAUAAGGACCUCUACUCGUGUUCAGACAGAAACUAAUGAGUUAUGUAGUUACCCGAAGAACCUUGACAAGUCAUAGGACCUGUUCAGUGUCCAACAAACAAACUAAAACAACAACAAACAUGCCUGCCCCCACCACUACUAUACAAUCUCCCUCCCAACCCACAAGCCCUAUUUACCCAGCCCUGCCCCCUCUCUAUUUCUUCCCUCCUGGGAAACUCCAAAGUUCAAUCCAAAGCAGGAGUAUUUCUGCUUCCUCGGUAGAUGAGGUUGCAGGCAGGCCAGUCUUCUUGGGAGCUAUACCUUCACUUAGCUCUUGAAGCAGAACUAAUUCAACCUUCAUCUCCGAUGCAUUCUUAAUCCCCCUUUCCUGGUAGUGUAGGAAGGUGGAGGAAGAUAGAACACAAGGUAUGCAGAAAGGCUUUUAUGUAGAUUUUCUGUUUUUGCAGGAUAGUUGAUGAAGAAAGAUGUCAUACUGAUUUACUUAUUUAAAACUAAUGGUGCGUUAUCUACAUUUUGUCACAGCAUUCAGCUUUUCCAAGGGCAUUCUUCCAAUGAUUUAAAUUCAGACUUCAGGCACUCAUGACAAAAUAAAAGAUGAGAGGUAUUCCCUAAGUCAUUUAUCCUUAAUUACGCAGGCAGCCUCAGCAUGUAGCUCUGCCUCCAUUUUUGUACCGUUCAGAUUAGAAAAACAAUUCAGAUUAAGGCAUGGCAAAGCAGAGCUUGAAUUUGCAUUGAAAUGCACGAGUGAGUCCAGUAACUGCUGGUGUGCAACAUCUUAUUCACCAGUAAAUAAAUGGAAAAUAGCUUAGUAUAAGAUGUAUUGUUCUGAGUAGGCAAGACAACGGACAUUUAUUUCAUAUCUCCUGUUGGUAUUUCUUACCUUAUAUUGUGUGCUCGCUUCAUCUGCUCAUAUCCAAGCAGUGGAAGCACUUUAUGUGCAGGAAGCAAUAAUGAAGCGGUAUGGGACAGCUGUACCGAAUCUUCUGAAAAAAAAAAGUCUCCAUAUGCUAUUUUUAGUGUCAGAAUUGGUAGUCCAAAAUAAUCCCUCUGACAUUAUCUAAGUUCACCUAAUUGUAAGACACAGCCUGCAGUCUGACACAGGCGGCCUCAAUCAGAUCAGAGCAUUCAGUGAGCAGUUUUCCCACUCGCUGGUCAAAAACUAGCAGAUCAAUGAAGGGCUAUAAAAAUGCACCACCCUUCAGGCUGGUCCGUAAUAAGCAGAAGAGGACGACAGUUUAGGUCGGCACGUAAGGUUUGGUUUUGCUCAUCGGGCUUUUAAAACAAGAGAGGAAUGGAGCAAACACAACCUUGUUAUUAAAUGGAAGCAGCACUGUGUCACCAUCCAUAGCCACGCUGCAGGGUGCUGCAACAGAGGGACCAGCGACCCACGUUUAAAGAAAGCAAAACAAAACAGUAGCCUGCGAAGCUGCUACUCUCUUUGAUAAUAGAGGUGAUAACAAAAAAAAAAAAAAAAAACGACGGAAGCAAUAAAAGUCUUAUCUUACAAAAACCAUUAAAUUUUACUUUACAUAAAGCAAACCCGGAAGUGCAAUACAAAUUAUUGUGUCUGGAUAAAGAGUUGUACGUGUUUAAAUGAGAACGAUCCAACAGACGCUGGAAGGACAGCAGACACCCAAGGCACUCUCACUACGAUGGGAACUACGCUUUCUCUGCAUUCUCGCCCACGCUUUGUGUCGAGAAGCGGGACAGCAGCUCGGCAACACCCAGUAACGCCGCACACCAGUCAGGAAGGCAUCGCGGCGCUGCUUUCGGUGCUGGAAGCACUAUUCACCCUGACUUAACCCAGCGCUUUCAUCUUCUUCAAAUGCCGCGCAGCACGCGUGGAAAUAACAGGCGAAUUCUUUGGGAGUUCCAAGCGGUACGUCCGCUUUUACGCUCCUAGCAGAACCGACUGUUUCCAGCCAGCUAAACGAAGCGUGAAGCGGUUUUUACUGCGCUUUAUGACCGCUUACUGCACGCCGCCUCAUCGCCUCAGCGACGGCCUCGCAGGGAAGCGGCGCGCGAAGAGCCGCGCAGAGCCCCGCGUCC
RNAcentral lists this long non-coding RNA (5632 nucleotides) under Gallus gallus (chicken). RNAcentral describes it as "lncRNA (ENSGALG00010006974.1)". Lineage: Eukaryota; Metazoa; Chordata; Aves; Galliformes; Phasianidae. The record is from RNAcentral.